This 222-nucleotide ribosomal RNA is filed under the name uncultured bacterium. RNAcentral's name for it is "partial 16S ribosomal RNA". It matches the Rfam family "Bacterial small subunit ribosomal RNA", at positions 109 to 334 of the family's 1533-position model. The record is from RNAcentral.
AGUAAUACAUCGGAACGUGUCUUCUAGUGGGGGAUAACUGCCCGAAAGGGCAGCUAAUACCGCAUGAGACCUGAGGGUGAAAGCGGGGGAUCGCAAGACCUCGCGCUGGAAGAGCGGCCGAUGUCCGAUUAGCUAGUUGGUGAGGUAAAGGCUCGCCAAGGCGACGAUCGGUAGCUGGUCUGAGAGGACGACCAGCCACACUGGGACUGAGACACGGCCCAG